CCGUGCCAGUCACAAAAAAAGUGGAUGGAAACUGUAUACAGGACGCCCAGAAAAUGCUCUCCGUUAUCCAAAAGACGUGUACAGAGAAUAACACAGUGGGCCAGCGCAAAGGAUUCUGCUUAGAUACCCCGUCCUGGGAGUACUUUCUGGUGCCGGAGCUGAACCCGACCACACAGACCGAAGCAGUUUGCAGGCCCAUGGUAUCUACAUGCC
Long non-coding RNA from Gadus chalcogrammus (walleye pollock), 213 nucleotides. RefSeq lists it as uncharacterized. The transcript is spliced from 3 exons. The record is from RefSeq and is a predicted model, not a curated record. NCBI's taxonomy places the organism in Eukaryota, Metazoa, Chordata, Actinopteri, Gadiformes, Gadidae.